This is a long non-coding RNA of Limulus polyphemus (Atlantic horseshoe crab), 898 nucleotides long. RefSeq lists it as uncharacterized. The transcript has 2 exons. The record is from RefSeq and is a predicted model, not a curated record. Lineage: Eukaryota; Metazoa; Arthropoda; Merostomata; Xiphosura; Limulidae.
AGGAACUUCAGAAGUCAUUGUCUCGGCACUCAACAAAACGGGGACACUCAUUUGGACUCAGACUUUUUCUGAUCACCUGAACCAAUUCGAUGGCUGGAGCGCCUUGUAACGAUUUUUAAAAUUUCAGAAGCUGUACGUUUUAUUGCUUAUUGUUGAUGUUUUCAACAUAAAAUUAGCAUAUGUUAGAAAAUAAACACUGAAAUAUUGUGAAAGUGAAAAAGUAAUCGUUUGACGGAAAGAGGGAAACUUUAUGGACGUCUAGCUGAGCUCCGCUUCUGUUUGAGAUAGUCUCUCUCUUUCUAUGGAAAUUGAUAUAAUUUGACUUGAGCUGGAUUUAUGAGUGGUGGUGACAAGAGAUGAUCCACGAGCAUCGCCACGGUUAGAGCUUUGAUCCACAAGUAUCGCCACUGUCAGAGCCUUGAUCCACGAAUACCACCAUGGUUAGAGGUUUGAUCCACGAGUAUCACCACUGUUAGAGCUUUGAUCCACGAGGACUAUAUCACUCGUUACAGGCUUCACAGAACAGAUUAGAUUCUUGAAGGACUAUAUCAAUCAUCACCAGAUUCACUGAAAUAUAUUUAACUAUUCACUUUCCUGUUCGUUAUCAAAUUAUCAGAGAAUUUUCCCACUUUCUCAGCAUUCAAACGUUAUAUGUAUAAUGUUAUCACAGUAAAUGGUGAUGAUGUGAAAUACGUUUCCUCAGACUUUACUUUCAAUUCUUUUUGUAGUUACUCUUCUAAACAAAGCCAGAUAAAAGAAGCAGAUUGAAGUGAAGUGAUAAAAAAACAGCUUGCAGAAAAUUCACAAACAGUAUUGCUAAUAUUGAGUGGAGAUAAAUUUAAUUGUUUAUAAUGUAUGUGAAGCAGAUUUAUGUAUUAAAAUAGAUGUUUUUAACAUA